UUUGUUUUCACCUCUAUACACCACCGUUACACGCCUGCAUGCAAAUACACCGAUACUACGAUCCUUCAGAAGACAAGAACAAACUAUCACAGAAUCAACCUCAACAUACAAAAAACUGAACGCGCACCUGAUGAUAACUCAGUCUCAGCUUCCGCUAAAAUGAAUCAUACUAACUUGAGGAGGUCAUCCUUGGUGGCUUUCCUCCAAAUUUCCAACGAAUCUUCCAGACAUUGUUGACACACAAGAGCUGUAAAGAAAAGUAAAUCAGUGGUACACGAUGUCACACACAACGACAAACUGAGUUCUUUUUUUUCCUUCUCUGAUGAAGUCUUCAUCAGUCUUCCCAGGAUAUUGCCAAGCUCGGAUCCUUC
RNAcentral lists this long non-coding RNA (371 nucleotides) under Triticum aestivum (bread wheat). RNAcentral describes it as "long non-coding RNA (TAES_LNC024655)". Lineage: Eukaryota; Viridiplantae; Streptophyta; Magnoliopsida; Poales; Poaceae. The record is from RNAcentral.